RNAcentral lists this unclassified non-coding RNA (595 nucleotides) under Hevea brasiliensis (rubber tree). The record is from RNAcentral. Lineage: Eukaryota; Viridiplantae; Streptophyta; Magnoliopsida; Malpighiales; Euphorbiaceae.
GCUAUGCACACUUGGUGAUAUUUUAGGACUUCUUUGAAGAAGUCAUCAAGGGGGAACCGCAGCCCGGCCUUUAAUUGUUCUUCGUAUACCAUGAUCAUAUCGUUUUCCUCGAAGAAAUGAUCGGCACGAAGAUCGCCGUGACACUUAAUCAGCUUGUAUGAAUCAGGCCGGAUGUUGUACUCCUGGCUGAACGACUGCAGGUCGGUUUCUUGCAAGAUUGCUGGCAGCUCGUCCAUGGGAAGAUUCUCUCUCCCUGAAGAAGGUACAUGCCUUGAUGGUGCUGCUUGCCCCCGAGCUGGAACAGAGACCCUAGGAGGUUCAGGUCGCACGCUUGGUCCGACCACCUCCACUUCAUCAGACGACCACGAGAUCUGAACGGAAGGGGGGCUUGCCGCUCUCUGACCCUCGGCGCUGCUCAUUUUCAAAGGAAAUAGAGAAUUUAAACUAAAAGAAGGAUCAAAACCCUUACCGGAGCUUGAUCGGUGUCGGAAGAACUUGAGAAAUUGAGAGGAUUUUGGAAUCGCUCGUAGAAUGCUGAAAAUGACAUGAGAGAGCGACUGGCUGACCCCAACCCCUAUUUAUACCCGUCUGAGCA